Molecule: ribosomal RNA, 933 nt
Filed under: Arthrobacter sp. DAB_ATA3
Lineage: Bacteria; Bacillati; Actinomycetota; Actinomycetes; Micrococcales; Micrococcaceae
Description: bacterial SSU rRNA
Rfam family: Bacterial small subunit ribosomal RNA
Source: RNAcentral
AGCGUUAUCCGGAAUUAUUGGGCGUAAAGAGCUCGUAGGCGGUUUGUCGCGUCUGCCGUGAAAGUCCGGGGCUCAACCCCGGAUCUGCGGUGGGUACGGGCAGACUAGAGUGAUGUAGGGGAGACUGGAAUUCCUGGUGUAGCGGUGAAAUGCGCAGAUAUCAGGAGGAACACCGAUGGCGAAGGCAGGUCUCUGGGCAUUAACUGACGCUGAGGAGCGAAAGCAUGGGGAGCGAACAGGAUUAGAUACCCUGGUAGUCCAUGCCGUAAACGUUGGGCACUAGGUGUGGGGGACAUUCCACGUUUUCCGCGCCGUAGCUAACGCAUUAAGUGCCCCGCCUGGGGAGUACGGCCGCAAGGCUAAAACUCAAAGGAAUUGACGGGGGCCCGCACAAGCGGCGGAGCAUGCGGAUUAAUUCGAUGCAACGCGAAGAACCUUACCAAGGCUUGACAUGAACCGGAAACGCCUGGAAACAGGCGCCCCGCUUGCGGUCGGUUUACAGGUGGUGCAUGGUUGUCGUCAGCUCGUGUCGUGAGAUGUUGGGUUAAGUCCCGCAACGAGCGCAACCCUCGUUCCAUGUUGCCAGCGGGUUAUGCCGGGGACUCAUGGGAGACUGCCGGGGUCAACUCGGAGGAAGGUGGGGACGACGUCAAAUCAUCAUGCCCCUUAUGUCUUGGGCUUCACGCAUGCUACAAUGGCCGGUACAAAGGGUUGCGAUACUGUGAGGUGGAGCUAAUCCCAAAAAGCCGGUCUCAGUUCGGAUUGGGGUCUGCAACUCGACCCCAUGAAGUCGGAGUCGCUAGUAAUCGCAGAUCAGCAACGCUGCGGUGAAUACGUUCCCGGGCCUUGUACACACCGCCCGUCAAGUCACGAAAGUUGGUAACACCCGAAGCCGGUGGCCUAACCCCUUGUGGGAGGGAGCUGUCGAAGGUG